GGGCGGUUAGCUCAGUGGGAGAGCGCUUGCUUCACACGCAAGAGGUCGCAGGUUCGAGUCCUGCACCGCCCACCA
RNAcentral lists this transfer RNA (75 nucleotides) under Pseudomonadota bacterium. Its description in RNAcentral is "tRNA-Val". It matches the Rfam family "tRNA". From Rfam's summary of the family: Transfer RNA (tRNA) molecules are approximately 80 nucleotides in length. The record is from RNAcentral. Lineage: Bacteria; Pseudomonadati; Pseudomonadota. RNAcentral also lists the same sequence under 3 other names.